GACGAACGCUGGCGGCGUGCUUAACACAUGCAAGUCGAACGGUAAGGCCCUUCGGGGUACACGAGUGGCGAACGGGUGAGUAACACGUGGGUGAUCUGCCCUGCACUUCGGGAUAAGCCUGGGCAACUGGGUCUAAUACCGGAUAGGACCACUGCCUGCAUGGGUGGUGGUGGAAAGCUUUUGCGGUGUGGGAUGGGCCCGCGGCCGAUCAGCUUGUUGGUGGGGUGAUGGCCUACCAAGGCGACGACGGGUAGCCGGCCGGAGAGGGUGACCGGCCACACUGGGACUGAGAUACGGCCCAGACUCCUACGGGAGGCAGCAGUGGGGAAUAUUGCACAAUGGGCGCAAGCCUGAUGCAGCGACGCCGCGUGAGGGAUGACGGCCUUCGGGUUGUAAACCUCUUUCAGCACCGACGAAGCGCAAGUGACGGUAGGUGCAGAAGAAGGACCGGCCAACUACGUGCCAGCAGCCGCAGUAA
This 478-nucleotide ribosomal RNA is filed under the name uncultured bacterium. RNAcentral describes it as "partial 16S ribosomal RNA". It matches the Rfam family "Bacterial small subunit ribosomal RNA", at positions 28 to 523 of the family's 1533-position model. The record is from RNAcentral.